Molecule: ribosomal RNA, 1353 nt
Filed under: Staphylococcus aureus
Lineage: Bacteria; Bacillati; Bacillota; Bacilli; Caryophanales; Staphylococcaceae
Description: bacterial SSU rRNA
Rfam family: Bacterial small subunit ribosomal RNA
Source: RNAcentral
UCAAAAGUGAAAGACGGUCUUGCUGUCACUUAUAGAUGGAUCCGCGCUGCAUUAGCUAGUUGGUAAGGUAACGGCUUACCAAGGCAACGAUGCAUAGCCGACCUGAGAGGGUGAUCGGCCACACUGGAACUGAGACACGGUCCAGACUCCUACGGGAGGCAGCAGUAGGGAAUCUUCCGCAAUGGGCGAAAGCCUGACGGAGCAACGCCGCGUGAGUGAUGAAGGUCUUCGGAUCGUAAAACUCUGUUAUUAGGGAAGAACAUAUGUGUAAGUAACUGUGCACAUCUUGACGGUACCUAAUCAGAAAGCCACGGCUAACUACGUGCCAGCAGCCGCGGUAAUACGUAGGUGGCAAGCGUUAUCCGGAAUUAUUGGGCGUAAAGCGCGCGUAGGCGGUUUUUUAAGUCUGAUGUGAAAGCCCACGGCUCAACCGUGGAGGGUCAUUGGAAACUGGAAAACUUGAGUGCAGAAGAGGAAAGUGGAAUUCCAUGUGUAGCGGUGAAAUGCGCAGAGAUAUGGAGGAACACCAGUGGCGAAGGCGACUUUCUGGUCUGUAACUGACGCUGAUGUGCGAAAGCGUGGGGAUCAAACAGGAUUAGAUACCCUGGUAGUCCACGCCGUAAACGAUGAGUGCUAAGUGUUAGGGGGUUUCCGCCCCUUAGUGCUGCAGCUAACGCAUUAAGCACUCCGCCUGGGGAGUACGACCGCAAGGUUGAAACUCAAAGGAAUUGACGGGGACCCGCACAAGCGGUGGAGCAUGUGGUUUAAUUCGAAGCAACGCGAAGAACCUUACCAAAUCUUGACAUCCUUUGACAACUCUAGAGAUAGAGCCUUCCCCUUCGGGGGACAAAGUGACAGGUGGUGCAUGGUUGUCGUCAGCUCGUGUCGUGAGAUGUUGGGUUAAGUCCCGCAACGAGCGCAACCCUUAAGCUUAGUUGCCAUCAUUAAGUUGGGCACUCUAAGUUGACUGCCGGUGACAAACCGGAGGAAGGUGGGGAUGACGUCAAAUCAUCAUGCCCCUUAUGAUUUGGGCUACACACGUGCUACAAUGGACAAUACAAAGGGCAGCGAAACCGCGAGGUCAAGCAAAUCCCAUAAAGUUGUUCUCAGUUCGGAUUGUAGUCUGCAACUCGACUACAUGAAGCUGGAAUCGCUAGUAAUCGUAGAUCAGCAUGCUACGGUGAAUACGUUCCCGGGUCUUGUACACACCGCCCGUCACACCACGAGAGUUUGUAACACCCGAAGCCGGUGGAGUAACCUUUUAGGAGCUAGCCGUCGAAGGUGGGACAAAUGAUUGGGGUGAAGUCGUAACAAGGUAGCCGUAUCGGAAGGUGCGGCUGGAUCACCUCCUUU